UACGUAGGGUGCGAGCGUUGUCCGGAAUUAUUGGGCGUAAAGAGCUCGUAGGCGGUCUGUCGCGUCGGUCGUGAAAACUUGGGGCUUAACCCUGAGCUUGCGGUCGAUACGGGCAUGACUGGAGUUCGGUAGGGGAGACUGGAAUUCCUGGUGUAGCGGUGAAAUGCGCAGAUAUCAGGAGGAACACCGGUGGCGAAGGCGGGUCUCUGGGCCGAUACUGACGCUGAGGAGCGAAAGCGUGGGGGGCGAACAGG
RNAcentral lists this ribosomal RNA (254 nucleotides) under uncultured bacterium. RNAcentral describes it as "partial 16S ribosomal RNA". It matches the Rfam family "Bacterial small subunit ribosomal RNA", at positions 524 to 776 of the family's 1533-position model. The record is from RNAcentral.